This 406-nucleotide ribosomal RNA is filed under the name uncultured bacterium. RNAcentral's name for it is "partial 16S ribosomal RNA". It matches the Rfam family "Bacterial small subunit ribosomal RNA", at positions 30 to 526 of the family's 1533-position model. The record is from RNAcentral.
AUUGAACGCUGGCGGCAGGCCUAACACAUGCAAGUCGAGCGAGCGGCGGACGGGUGCGUAAUGUCUGGGAAACUGCCUGAUGGCGGGGGCUCACUACUGGAUACGGUUGCUAAUACCGCAUACCAUCAGAUGUGCCCAGAGGGGAUUAGCUAGUAGGUGGGGUAACGGCUCACCUAGGCCACGAUCCCUAGCUGGGCUGAGAGGAUGACCAGCCACACUGGAACUGAGACACGGUCCAGACUCCGACGGGAGGCAGCAGUGGGGAAUAUUGCACAAUGGGCGCAAGCCUGAUGCAGCCAUGCCGCGUGUGUGAAGAAGGCCUUAGGGUUGUAAAGCACUUUCAGCGGGGAGGCGUUACCCGCAGAAGAAGCACCGGCUAACUCCGUGCCAGCAGCCGCGGUAAUUC